GGUCCUAUAGCUCAGUUGGUUAGAGCAUCCGGCUAAUAACCGGAAGGUCGCCGGUUCGAUCCCGGUUGGGACCA
Molecule: transfer RNA, 74 nt
Organism: Toxoplasma gondii VEG
Lineage: Eukaryota; Apicomplexa; Conoidasida; Eucoccidiorida; Sarcocystidae
Rfam family: tRNA
About the family: Transfer RNA (tRNA) molecules are approximately 80 nucleotides in length. Their secondary structure includes four short double-helical elements and three loops (D, anti-codon, and T loops). Further hydrogen bonds mediate the characteristic L-shaped molecular structure. tRNAs have two regions of fundamental functional importance: the anti-codon, which is responsible for specific mRNA codon recognition, and the 3' end, to which the tRNAs corresponding amino acid is attached (by aminoacyl-tRNA synthetases). tRNAs cope with the degeneracy of the genetic code in two manners: having more than one tRNA (with a specific anti-codon) for a particular amino acid; and 'wobble' base-pairing, i.e. permitting non-standard base-pairing at the 3rd anti-codon position.
Source: Rfam